Molecule: unclassified non-coding RNA, 325 nt
Filed under: soil metagenome
Description: partial contains 5.8S ribosomal RNA, internal transcribed spacer 2, and large subunit ribosomal RNA
Rfam family: 5.8S ribosomal RNA (bases 1-120)
Source: RNAcentral
GAUGAAGAACGCAGUGAAAUGCGAUAAGUAAUGCGAAUUGCAGAAUUCAGUGAGUCAUCGAAUCUUUGAACGCACAUUGCGCCCUGUGGUAUUCCGCAGGGCAUGCCUGUUCGAGCGUCAUUUCAACCCUCAAGCCCCGCUUGGUGUUGGGCCCCGCCCGCCGUGGCCGGCCCUAAAGACAGUGGCGGCGCCGCCUGGCCCUCAGCGUAGUACAGCUCUCGCUCCAGGGUCCGGCGGCCGCCUGCCAGAACCCCCCCAACUCUGUGGUUGACCUCGGAUCAGGUAGGGAUACCCGCUGAACUUAAGCAUAUCAAUAAGCGGAGGA